This 480-nucleotide ribosomal RNA is filed under the name uncultured Verrucomicrobiaceae bacterium. RNAcentral's name for it is "bacterial SSU rRNA". It matches the Rfam family "Bacterial small subunit ribosomal RNA", at positions 903 to 1382 of the family's 1533-position model. The record is from RNAcentral. Lineage: Bacteria; Pseudomonadati; Verrucomicrobiota; Verrucomicrobiia; Verrucomicrobiales; Verrucomicrobiaceae.
CUUAAAAGGAAUUGACGGGACCCGCACAAGCGGUGGAGUAUGUGGCUUAAUUCGAUGCAACGCGAAGAACCUUACCAAGGCUUGACAUGGAUUUCUAAGCACGUGAAAGCGUGUGACCCUUCGGGGACUUCCACAGGUGCUGCAUGGCCGUCGUCAGCUCGUGUCGUGAGAUGUUGGGUUAAGUCCCGCAACGAGCGCAACCCUUGUGACUAGUUGCCAGCACGUAAUGUGGGAACUCUAGUCAGACUGCCCAGAUCAACUGGGAGGAAGGUGGGGACGACGUCAGGUCAGUAUGGCCCUUACGCCUUGGGCUGCACACGUACUACAAUGCCCAGUACAAUGAGAACCGAUACCGCGAGGUGGAGGAAAUCUGUAAAACUGGGCCCAGUUCGGAUUGGAGGCUGCAACUCGCCUCCAUGAAGUUGGAAUCGCUAGUAAUGGCGCAUCAUCUACGGCGCCGUGAAUACGUUCCCGGGUCUU